Molecule: transfer RNA, 77 nt
Filed under: Enterobacter cloacae
Lineage: Bacteria; Pseudomonadati; Pseudomonadota; Gammaproteobacteria; Enterobacterales; Enterobacteriaceae
Also listed under: 9 other names
Description: tRNA-Arg
Rfam family: tRNA
About the family: Transfer RNA (tRNA) molecules are approximately 80 nucleotides in length.
Source: RNAcentral
GUGGCAUUAGCUCAGAUGGAUAGAGCAACGGCCUUCUAAGCCGUGGGUCGCAGGUUCGAAUCCUGCAUGCCGCGCCA